Long non-coding RNA from Erinaceus europaeus (western European hedgehog), 674 nucleotides. RefSeq lists it as uncharacterized. The record is from RefSeq and is a predicted model, not a curated record. Lineage: Eukaryota; Metazoa; Chordata; Mammalia; Eulipotyphla; Erinaceidae. The transcript is spliced from 6 exons.
GGAGCCUGCCCAGAAGUAAUAGCUUGUCUUCAAAGAAGAGCCACAGGAAGCAGAGUCCUUCAGCCUAGGAACCAUCCAUUCUGGCCUUCUGAGUCUGGGCUGCAGAUACACAAGUACCCUAGCUCACUCAAGCCCGUUCUUCCACCUGGCCUCUGUGAUCGCUGUUUCUGAAGAGGAGAAGGGCUUCUCUUUCUCUGCAACUCAAGUGUCGCUGGCAAAGAGACGACUGUGCUUCCCUCCUCCUCGGAGAACGUGACAUCACAGAAGCCCCUCUCCUCCUUCGCUGGCCCAGAUUCACUUCCUGUUUCCAGCAGUGAACACAGGCCUGGCCAGGGAAACCCAGGCUGAGCUGCAGACCAGGGGAAUCUCAGGGGCUCAGGCUGCCAACAGGCUCCUCGCACCACACGCUGCCCAGCUCACAGCCACCCGCUGUGCAAGAUACAGAGGGAGAGAGGAGACACCACACACCUGAGCUUCCCCUGGUGUCCAGGCACAGGAGUCUGCCUGGAGGAGGAGUCAGGGUCGUCCUCACACUCAAGUCUCUGUGGAAGCCUCGCCCAGGGAAGCAGACCCUGUAAAGUGUGGCUCGCUGGCAUGAGAACACAGGAAAUGAAGAGCUGGGGAAUAGCUCGCCCUGUUCCUCUGAGAAAAACUAAACCUGUGUUUAAAUCACA